This 635-nucleotide ribosomal RNA is filed under the name uncultured Halorubrum sp. Its description in RNAcentral is "bacterial SSU rRNA". It matches the Rfam family "Archaeal small subunit ribosomal RNA", at positions 282 to 879 of the family's 1478-position model. Lineage: Archaea; Methanobacteriati; Methanobacteriota; Halobacteria; Halobacteriales; Haloferacaceae. The record is from RNAcentral.
GAGGUAGAUGGGAGAAAUGUAGGAGAUGAAUGAUAUUUUUUAGAAUGUGAAUAAAGGAAUAAAAUUAUAAAAUAAAUAAUACGAGGCGCAGCAGGCGCGUAACCUUUACACUGCACGACAGUGCGAUAGGGCGAUCCCAAGUGCACAGGCAUAGCGCCUGUGCUGUUCGGUACCCUAAGGCGGUACCAGAAUAAGGGCUGGGCAAGACCGGUGCCAGCCGCCGCGGUAAUACCGGCAGCCCAAGUGAUGGCCGAUCUUAUUGGGCCUAAAGCGUCCGUAGCUGGCCACGCAAGUCCAUCGGGAAAUCCACCUGCCCAACAGGUGGACGCCCGGUAGAAACUGCGUGGCUUGGGACCGGAAGGCGCGACGGGUACGUCCGGGGUAGGAGUGAAAUCCCGUAAUCCUGGACGGACCGCCGAUGGCGAAAGCACGUCGCGAGAACGGAUCCGACAGUGAGGGACGAAAGCCAGGGUCUCGAACCGGAUUAGAUACCCGGGUAGUCCUGGCCGUAAACAAUGUCUGCUAGGUGUGGCUCCCACUACGAGUGGGUGCUGUGCCGCAGGGAAGCCGCUAAGCAGACCGCCUGGGAAGUACGUCCGCAAGGAUGAAACUUAAAGGAAUUGGCGGGGGAGCAC